Molecule: ribosomal RNA, 2687 nt
Filed under: Acinetobacter baumannii
Lineage: Bacteria; Pseudomonadati; Pseudomonadota; Gammaproteobacteria; Moraxellales; Moraxellaceae
Description: partial 23S ribosomal RNA
Rfam family: Bacterial large subunit ribosomal RNA
Source: RNAcentral
ACCCUUAGGAAAAGAAAUCAAUUGAGAUUCCCUCAGUAGCGGCGAGCGAACGGGGAUCAGCCCAUUAAGUUAUGUGUGUUUUAGUGGAACGCUCUGGGAAGUGCGAACGUAGAGGGUGAUAUUCCCGUACACGAAAGGGCACACAUAAUGAUGACGAGUAGGGCGAGGCACGUGAAACCUUGUCUGAAUAUGGGGGGACCAUCCUCCAAGGCUAAAUACUCCUGACUGACCGAUAGUGAACCAGUACCGUGAGGGAAAGGCGAAAAGAACCCCUGUGAGGGGAGUGAAAUAGAUCCUGAAACCGCAUGCAUACAAGCAGUGGGAGCACCUUCGUGGUGUGACUGCGUACCUUUUGUAUAAUGGGUCAGCGACUUAUAUUCAGUAGCGAGGUUAACCGUAUAGGGGAGCCGUAGAGAAAUCGAGUCUUAAUAGGGCGUUUAGUUGCUGGGUAUAGACCCGAAACCAGGCGAUCUAUCCAUGAGCAGGUUGAAGGUUGGGUAACACUAACUGGAGGACCGAACCCACUGUCGUUGAAAAGCCAGGGGAUGACUUGUGGAUAGGGGUGAAAGGCUAAUCAAGCCUGGUGAUAGCUGGUUCUCCCCGAAAGCUAUUUAGGUAGCGCCUCGGACGAAUACCAUAGGGGGUAGAGCACUGUUUCGGCUAGGGGGUCAUCCCGACUUACCAAACCGAUGCAAACUCCGAAUACCUAUGAGUACUAUCCGGGAGACAGACUGCGGGUGCUAACGUCCGUAGUCAAGAGGAAAACAAUCCAGACCGCCAGCUAAGGCCCCAAAAUCAUAGUUAAGUGGGAAACGAUGUGGGAAGGCAUAGACAGCUAGGAGGUUGGCUUAGAAGCAGCCACCCUUUAAAGAAAGCGUAAUAGCUCACUAGUCGAGUCGGCCUGCGCGGAAGAUGUAACGGGGCUAAAACUAUGUGCCGAAGCUGCGGAUGUAUACUUUGUAUACGUGGUAGGGGAGCGUUCUGUAAGCCGAUGAAGGUGUGUUGAGAAGCAUGCUGGAGGUAUCAGAAGUGCGAAUGCUGACGUGAGUAACGACAAAACGGGUGAAAAACCCGUUCGCCGAAAGACCAAGGGUUCCAGUCCAACGUUAAUCGGGGCUGGGUGAGUCGACCCCUAAGGCGAGGCCGAAAGGCGUAGUCGAUGGGAAAAUGGUUAAUAUUCCAUUACUUCUGUGUAAUGCGAUGAGAGGACGGAGAAGGCUAAAUCAGCCUGGCGUUGGUUGUCCAGGUGAAAGGAUGUAGGCAUGUAUCUUAGGCAAAUCCGGGGUACUCUAUGCUGAGAUCUGAUAGCAAGCUGUACUUGUACAGCGAAGUGGUUGAUGCCAUGCUUCCAGGAAAAGUCUCUAAGCUUCAGUUACACAGGAAUCGUACCCGAAACCGACACAGGUGGUCAGGUCGAGUAGACCAAGGCGCUUGAGAGAACUCUGCUGAAGGAACUAGGCAAAAUGGUACCGUAACUUCGGGAGAAGGUACGCUGUUGUUGGUGAUGGAACUCGCUUCCUGAGCUGACGACAGCCGCAGAAACCAGGCCGCUGCAACUGUUUAUUAAAAACAUAGCACUCUGCAAACACGAAAGUGGACGUAUAGGGUGUGAUGCCUGCCCGGUGCUGGAAGGUUAAUUGAUGGGGUUAGCGUAAGCGAAGCUCUUGAUCGAAGCCCCAGUAAACGGCGGCCGUAACUAUAACGGUCCUAAGGUAGCGAAAUUCCUUGUCGGGUAAGUUCCGACCUGCACGAAUGGCAUAAUGAUGGCGGCGCUGUCUCCAGCAGAGGCUCAGUGAAAUCGAAAUCGCUGUGAAGAUGCAGUGUACCCGCGGCUAGACGGAAAGACCCCGUGAACCUUUACUGCAGCUUGACACUGAACUUUGACCUUACUUGUGUAGGAUAGGUGGGAGGCUUUGAAGCUGGAACGCUAGUUCCAGUGGAGCCGUCCUUGAAAUACCACCCUGGUAAUGUUGAGGUUCUAACUCUGUCCCGUGAUCCGGGACGAGGACCGUGUCUGGUGGGUAGUUUGACUGGGGCGGUCUCCUCCUAAAGAGUAACGGAGGAGUACGAAGGUGCGCUCAGCGUGGUCGGAAAUCACGCGUAGAGUAUAAAGGCAAAAGCGCGCUUAACUGCGAGACCCACAAGUCGAGCAGGUACGAAAGUAGGUCUUAGUGAUCCGGUGGUUCUGUAUGGAAGGGCCAUCGCUCAACGGAUAAAAGGUACUCUGGGGAUAACAGGCUGAUACCGCCCAAGAGUUCAUAUCGACGGCGGUGUUUGGCACCUCGAUGUCGGCUCAUCUCAUCCUGGGGCUGAAGCAGGUCCCAAGGGUAUGGCUGUUCGCCAUUUAAAGAGGUACGCGAGCUGGGUUUAGAACGUCGUGAGACAGUUCGGUCCCUAUCUACCGUGGGCGCUGGAAAUUUGAGAGGAUCUGCUCCUAGUACGAGAGGACCAGAGUGGACGAACCUCUGGUGUACCGGUUGUGACGCCAGUCGCAUCGCCGGGUAGCUAUGUUCGGAAGGGAUAACCGCUGAAAGCAUCUAAGCGGGAAGCCUACCUCAAGAUAAGAUUUCCCUAGGACUUUAUGUCCUCUAAAGAGCCGUUCGAGACUAGGACGUUGAUAGGUUGGAUGUGGAAGCAUAGUGAUAUGUGAAGCUGACCAAUACUAAUUGCUCGUGAGGCUUGACUAU